This 75-nucleotide transfer RNA is filed under the name Lutibacter litoralis. Its description in RNAcentral is "tRNA-Asp". It matches the Rfam family "tRNA". From Rfam's summary of the family: Transfer RNA (tRNA) molecules are approximately 80 nucleotides in length. Their secondary structure includes four short double-helical elements and three loops (D, anti-codon, and T loops). Further hydrogen bonds mediate the characteristic L-shaped molecular structure. tRNAs have two regions of fundamental functional importance: the anti-codon, which is responsible for specific mRNA codon recognition, and the 3' end, to which the tRNAs corresponding amino acid is attached (by aminoacyl-tRNA synthetases). tRNAs cope with the degeneracy of the genetic code in two manners: having more than one tRNA (with a specific anti-codon) for a particular amino acid; and 'wobble' base-pairing, i.e. permitting non-standard base-pairing at the 3rd anti-codon position. Lineage: Bacteria; Pseudomonadati; Bacteroidota; Flavobacteriia; Flavobacteriales; Flavobacteriaceae. RNAcentral also lists the same sequence under 7 other names. The record is from RNAcentral.
GGUCUGGUAGUUCAGCUGGUUAGAAUACCUGCCUGUCACGCAGGGGGUCGCGGGUUCGAGUCCCGUCCAGACCGC